UGCCCUUGCGCGCCUGCGGACGCGCGCGUUGCCGCCAGGGCGGCUCUUGGCCGGCCUUGCCGCGGGAGGUGCCGCGCUCGGCGAGAGCGGGGCGCCCCUUUCUCCUCCUGGAAAGGGGUUCUGGCCUGGACCUUCUGCUGUGCUGCUCACUGAGCCCCCCUUCCCCCCUUGCUUUAGUUCCCUUUCGUUUUAUUUUCCCCUUUAUUAUUAUUUUCCUCUUUAUUCCCAUACUUAAGUGGGCACUGAGGGUGGGGAGUGGAGCAGGAGAGGCCUCUGCUUGAAUGAUGUGUAAUGUGCUACCCAUAUAGCCCAGUAUAGGGUUCUGGUGUAUGCAGGUGUAAGGAAAAUUGUCUAGUAAAGGGAAACAGGAAAAUGCUAUGAAAUGAUUACCAAAAAGGAGAAGAAAGACGGAGGAAAGUGUGAAGGCUUCUAGUGUGGACCUCAGACAAAGUGUUUGCUAUCUGCAAGAAGCCUAGAACAGCGAUCAGUGAAGUUCAGCUCUGAUUCUGAAGGUAUGCUGUGAUGUUCCUUUCGUUUCAGCAAAGAUUUUAAACCAUUCGGUGCAGACCAGUUUGUCUUGAAGCAAGCACUGGAAAGAACCAUUAGCUACUUAAGUUCAUAUACUUCAGAGAUACAGAAAGAUGAGCAGACUGUCAGAAGGCCUUUGUAACUGAAGGACAAGACAGAUUUUAAGAAAGAUAUGAAGGCUGCUCUGAGCUCAAUGUGUAUUUUAAGGAGGCAGCAUGGAGGAGAAAAUUAGUAGCUCCAAGAGUAAUACUCUGCUUGUAACUGCUCACUAAGGGGCACAUUCACAUGCUGAAGAAAUCACUGACUGUGCUUUAGAUCUGGUGGGAAAGGUGAACUCUGUUAAGUCUCUGUAGGGGCUGCCGGCGGCUUCAGGACCUUGUGCCAUGUGCAGUCGUCACCCAGCCGAGUGGCAGAAACCUCUCCCAAGCCUGCUGCACCGCUGCCCUGGAAACUUCCCCCGUGGAUUUCUCUGGGGGUGUUUUACUGAACAAAAAAAAUUCAUUUAGGCAAUGGAACUGUGUUCCUAUGUUGGAAUAAGCUAGUACUAAUCAGUUCAGAACAAAUUUCCAUCAUUCUGAAGCUCAGAUGAUGGAUCAAGAAGACAUAUCUCAAGUACCAAGCUGUGGAGAACUGGACAGUGAGAUGUUUCUUCCUUUUUCUGCACCUGUUUCUUCACCUUCAAGAACAACACUAUGUGUGCCAGUUCAUCACAGACUGCUGACAAAGAGGAAUCCAUGUGAGCGUGUCCACGUGGAAGGCAAUGAGAGCAAUCUGUGCUGCAGCUGUGAGGCUGGAGGUUGGAGUGGGCAUCUGCAUGCUCUGUAGGUGACAGAAAACUGAUGGAGAUCACUUGGCUGUGACUGAUGGAUGAAGACCAAAGUCUUCCAGGUCUGUAAAGAGCAGAAAAGUCCCGAGCAAUAUGUGACCAACUGAAGGGAUCACAAUGAACCAAACUGAUCUGGCUGUCUAGUAGUGUUUCAGACUUCUAUAUGAGACAGGAAUACCCGCUUUGAAGCAUAUUUUGGAAGAUGCACAGCUGAAGGGACCAGGACAUGAGUGUGAAGACCUGCAGCUGUUGCUGCAGAAGAUUGAAUGCUGGGCCCAAAGUGUUUUUCCAGAAAUGAAAUUUGAAGAUUUUAUUAGAAAACUUGAAGAAUGUGAAGUGACAGACUGGAUUUGGGUGCAACAGAGACUUUGGGCUAUUUAUUUAUUUACCAAAAUUUAUUUGUAAUGUGUGUGGGGGAAUUGUUUUAAAGAAGUGAUAAUGGAAAAUUUUGAAUGAAAAAACAAGUAAUUUUUUUCCACUGCUGUGAUAAUCCAUUGUGUUAAUUCCUACUAAAUGGUCUGCUUACAUGAUACUGUUCCUAAAUAAAUACGAAUUUUAACUAAACUGUGGAAUGCAGUUAUCUAAAGUGUAACCCCAGAGUCACUCUUCUAAACUGAGAGUCUCAAAAUAGGAGCUUAGCAAAAAGACUGUUGAAAUUUUGAUCAUCUGUUGUUUUAUUUUCUGCAUGUAGUUAGCGUUUAUGUAGCUAUUUCCUUCAAUAUGAUACCUUUUUGUGUCAGGCCUGUGAAUUCAAAACCAAAUUUUAAACCCAUCAAUGCUGCAUUGAUGGAGGAGAUAAAUUCUCUGCAGAAAUGUUGACCAUGUACUCAUUGUCUUUGGUUCUUAAGACCUUAAAGCAAAUUAUUGUGGACUUUUGGAGCUUACGGGUAGUGAUUCCUGUAACACUACUGUCAGUGGUAUAUAUAAACAUGGUAAAACAUAUCUGAUUGA
Long non-coding RNA from Rhea pennata, 2305 nucleotides. RefSeq lists it as uncharacterized. NCBI's taxonomy places the organism in Eukaryota, Metazoa, Chordata, Aves, Rheiformes, Rheidae. The record is from RefSeq and is a predicted model, not a curated record. The transcript is spliced from 9 exons.